Molecule: ribosomal RNA, 520 nt
Filed under: uncultured fungus
Lineage: Eukaryota; Fungi
Description: SSU rRNA
Rfam family: Eukaryotic small subunit ribosomal RNA
Source: RNAcentral
UCAAAGAUUAAGCCAUGCAUGUCUAAGUAUAAGCAACUUGUACUGUGAAACUGCGAAUGGCUCAUUAAAUCAGUUAUCGUUUAUUUGAUAGUACCUUACUACAUGGAUACCUGUGGUAAUUCUAGAGCUAAUACAUGCUAAAAACCCCGACUUCAGGAAGGGGUGUAUUUAUUAGAUAAAAAACCAACGCCCUUCGGGGCUCCUUGGUGAAUCAUAAUAACUUAACGAAUCGCAUGGCCUUGCGCCGGCGAUGGUUCAUUCAAAUUUCUGCCCUAUCAACUUUCGAUGGUUGGAUAGUGGCCUACCAUGGUGGCAACGGGUAACGGGGAAUUAGGGUUCGAUUCCGGAGAGGGAGCCUGAGAAACGGCUACCACAUCCAAGGAAGGCAGCAGGCGCGCAAAUUACCCAAUCCCGAUACGGGGAGGUAGUGACAAUAAAUACUGAUACGGGGCUCUUUUGGGUCUCGUAAUUGGAAUGAGAACAAUUUAAAUCCCUUAACGAGGAACAAUUGGAGGGCAAG